UUCCUUCAUCCUGCUUCCAUAAUUAUAUGUUGGGGUGCAGAAGUAAUCAUUUACUCCAUUGCCUACAUGAACCUUAUCAUCCUCUGCUUUGCAAAAGGCUAACAUAAAUGCUGAAGCAAUGGCUAAUAUUCAGUACAGCUGAGAUAUUUCCUGGCAGCUGCUGAAGAAACAUGGAAAAUGGACCAAUAAGAACAGGCUGAAGAAGGCUGAAGUCAGCAACGAGGAUGAUAAUUUAUCAGAAUAUUUGGUACGUGACAACUGUUAUAAAAGCUAAUUCUUACCAAAUUCUACAGAAAAGUCAAGAACAAUGAGGACAGAAGAAAGAACUAAAAAGAAUACAAUUAUUGAUGACUGUGAUCCCAGCAAAAUGCUGAGUAAAUUAGACUGAAAUUUCAAAGGAUUAAAAUAAAGAUUGUUAGAGGAUGAAUAGAGCGGGUUGAGAACAUUU
RNAcentral lists this long non-coding RNA (448 nucleotides) under Homo sapiens (human). Its description in RNAcentral is "HSALNT0101026". The record is from RNAcentral. Lineage: Eukaryota; Metazoa; Chordata; Mammalia; Primates; Hominidae.